CACGAACGCUGGCGGCGUGCUUAACACAUGCAAGUCGAACGCUGAAGCUCAGCUUUUGUUGGGUGGAUGAGUGGCGAACGGGUGAGUAACACGUGAGUAACCUGCCUCCUUCUUUGGGAUAACGCCCGGAAACGGGUGCUAAUACUGGAUAUUCACUGGUCUUCGCAUGGGGGUUGGUGGAAAGGGUUUUUCUGGUGGGGGAUGGGCUCGCGGCCUAUCAGCUUGUUGGUGGGGUGAUGGCCUACCAAGGCUUUGACGGGUAGCCGGCCUGAGAGGGUGACCGGUCACAUUGGGACUGAGAUACGGCCCAGACUCCUACGGGAGGCAGCAGUGGGGAAUAUUGCACAAUGGGCGCAAGCCUGAUGCAGCGACGCCGCGUGAGGGAUGGAGGCCUUCGGGUUGUGAACCUCUUUCGCUCAUGGUCAAGCCGCAACAAUGGUUGUGGUGAGGGUAGUGGGUAAAGAAGCGCCGGCUAACUACGUG
This 483-nucleotide ribosomal RNA is filed under the name uncultured bacterium. RNAcentral describes it as "partial 16S ribosomal RNA". It matches the Rfam family "Bacterial small subunit ribosomal RNA", at positions 29 to 507 of the family's 1533-position model. The record is from RNAcentral.